UCAAAAAGACGUUUACCAUCU
Molecule: non-coding RNA, 21 nt
Filed under: Caenorhabditis elegans
Lineage: Eukaryota; Metazoa; Nematoda; Chromadorea; Rhabditida; Rhabditidae
Source: RNAcentral